AACUGAUACUACCUGCGGGAACCUGCGGAAGGAUCAUUACCAAACUUGGCCGCAAGGCCAUGCUGGAGGGUGGUUUCGGCCCCCGACAGUAUACCCUUUGUGAAAAACCUCUGUUGCUUCGGCGGCAUUCCCGGGGGCAACCCCGGGGUGUCAGUCCGCCGACGGCCCUCAGGAAACUCUUUCAGUAAUUUGAACUGUCUGAUAUAUUAGCGAAUGCUAUAAAACUUUUAACAACGGAUC
This 240-nucleotide unclassified non-coding RNA is filed under the name soil metagenome. RNAcentral's name for it is "partial contains 5.8S ribosomal RNA, internal transcribed spacer 2, and large subunit ribosomal RNA". The record is from RNAcentral.